AUGAACGCUGGCGGCGUGCCUAAUACAUGCAAGUCGAGCGAACAGACGAGGAGCUUGCUCCUCUGACGUUAGCGGCGGACGGGUGAGUAACACGUGGAUAACCUACCUAUAAGACUGGGAUAACUUCGGGAAACCGGAGCUAAUACCGGAUAAUAUAUUGAACCGCAUGGUUCAAUAGUGAAAGACGGUUUUGCUGUCACUUAUAGAUGGAUCCGCGCCGCAUUAGCUAGUUGGUAAGGUAACGGCUUACCAAGGCAACGAUGCGUAGCCGACCUGAGAGGGUGAUCGGCCACACUGGAACUGAGACACGGUCCAGACUCCUACGGGAGGCAGCAAUAGGGAAUCUUCCGCAAUGGGCGAAAGCCUGACGGAGCAACGCCGCGUGAGUGAUGAAGGUCUUCGGAUCGUAAAACUCUGUUAUUAGGGAAGAACAAAUGUGUAAGUAACUAUGCACGUCUUGACGGUACCUAAUCAGAAAGCCACGGCUAACUACGUG
Molecule: ribosomal RNA, 496 nt
Filed under: uncultured bacterium
Lineage: Bacteria
Description: partial 16S ribosomal RNA
Rfam family: Bacterial small subunit ribosomal RNA
Source: RNAcentral